GAAUUUCACAGAGGAUCUGGCUGACUGAGUGUCCCCCGCCUCCCUCAAGGCUCCAUGUCCUUGGCUCCCAGAGCUGUGCGCUAGAGCAGAGAGAAGGACCACCCCGCAGAGGAGGAUCAUUCCUAGGUCAAGGGUGUAGGAGUACCUGUGUUCCCUUGCUAGAACCUCCAAUCAGGCUAUCAAGAAUUUCAAAUUUAAGAAUUUUUUUUUUUUUUUUGUCUUUUUGAGACAGGGGCUCUCUAUGCAGUUUAGGAUGGGUUUGAGCUCACUUU
RNAcentral lists this small nuclear RNA (272 nucleotides) under Chinchilla lanigera (long-tailed chinchilla). Its description in RNAcentral is "7SK RNA (ENSCLAG00000021413.1)". It matches the Rfam family "7SK RNA", at positions 51 to 294 of the family's 331-position model. Rfam says of the family: 7SK was discovered as an abundant small nuclear RNA in the mid-70s but a possible function has only recently been suggested. Two independent studies have found that 7SK RNA binds the CDK9/cyclin T complex (known as elongation factor P-TEFb). Lineage: Eukaryota; Metazoa; Chordata; Mammalia; Rodentia; Chinchillidae. The record is from RNAcentral.